RNAcentral lists this transfer RNA (76 nucleotides) under Candidatus Saccharimonadota bacterium. Its description in RNAcentral is "tRNA-Trp". It matches the Rfam family "tRNA". Rfam says of the family: Transfer RNA (tRNA) molecules are approximately 80 nucleotides in length. Their secondary structure includes four short double-helical elements and three loops (D, anti-codon, and T loops). The record is from RNAcentral. RNAcentral also lists the same sequence under 1 other name. Lineage: Bacteria; Candidatus Saccharimonadota.
AGGGGUGUAGCUCAGUUGGUAGAGCAACGGUCUCCAAAACCGUGUGUCGCGAGUUCAAGUCUUGCCACCCCUGCCA